GGUUGUAACAUGAAUGCAGCAAGAUGAAUGAUAGGUUUAAGCUAAAUAAAAUAAUAUCGACAUAACAAAAUACCAAAUUUCUAAAGCAAGGUGCAAAAUUGCAAAAAUAUAUUACAUGAUAUCUGAAAAAAAUGUUCCAUAAGAAUUAACUAAUUUCAAAAUUUUUAAUAAAAGUAGAGAGUGUAUGGGGGGACAGAGAGAGAAAGGAAAAUUUGCCUUGCAGACUUUAGCACAAACCGUUCUCAAGAUAUUCUAACAUUUCAAAACUCACCUAAGCAAAAGGAAUCAAUUAAAUGUCAAUCUUUUAUCAAGUAUUUUAAGAACUCUUAGAACUAAUCUAGAGCUAAAACUUCCAGCUCAGUUUUGACCCCACAAUGAUCAAACUUGUAAAACUCUGAAUAUAAAACUUGUAGGCC
Molecule: long non-coding RNA, 416 nt
Filed under: Elaeis guineensis (African oil palm)
Lineage: Eukaryota; Viridiplantae; Streptophyta; Magnoliopsida; Arecales; Arecaceae
Description: long non-coding RNA (EGUI_LNC002252)
Source: RNAcentral